Molecule: ribosomal RNA, 2747 nt
Filed under: Klebsiella pneumoniae
Lineage: Bacteria; Pseudomonadati; Pseudomonadota; Gammaproteobacteria; Enterobacterales; Enterobacteriaceae
Description: bacterial LSU rRNA
Rfam family: Bacterial large subunit ribosomal RNA
Source: RNAcentral
CACUAUCGUUAACUGAAUACAUAGGUUAACGAGGCGAACCGGGGGAACUGAAACAUCUAAGUACCCCGAGGAAAAGAAAUCAACCGAGAUUCCCCCAGUAGCGGCGAGCGAACGGGGAGCAGCCCAGAGUCUGAAUCAGCUUGUGUGUUAGUGGAACGGUCUGGAAAGUCCGACGGUACAGGGUGAUAGUCCCGUACACCAAAAUGCACAGGCUGUGAACUCGAAGAGUAGGGCGGGACACGUGGUAUCCUGUCUGAAUAUGGGGGGACCAUCCUCCAAGGCUAAAUACUCCUGACUGACCGAUAGUGAACCAGUACCGUGAGGGAAAGGCGAAAAGAACCCCGGCGAGGGGAGUGAAAAAGAACCUGAAACCGUGUACGUACAAGCAGUGGGAGCACCUUCGGGUGUGACUGCGUACCUUUUGUAUAAUGGGUCAGCGACUUAUAUUCUGUAGCAAGGUUAACCGUAUAGGGGAGCCGCAGGGAAACCGAGUCUUAACUGGGCGUUAAGUUGCAGGGUAUAGACCCGAAACCCGGUGAUCUAGCCAUGGGCAGGUUGAAGGUUGGGUAACACUAACUGGAGGACCGAACCGACUAAUGUUGAAAAAUUAGCGGAUGACUUGUGGCUGGGGGUGAAAGGCCAAUCAAACCGGGAGAUAGCUGGUUCUCCCCGAAAGCUAUUUAGGUAGCGCCUCGUGAAUUCAUCUUCGGGGGUAGAGCACUGUUUCGGCUAGGGGGUCAUCCCGACUUACCAACCCGAUGCAAACUACGAAUACCGAAGAAUGUUAUCACGGGAGACACACGGCGGGUGCUAACGUCCGUCGUGAAGAGGGAAACAACCCAGACCGCCAGCUAAGGUCCCAAAGUCAUGGUUAAGUGGGAAACGAUGUGGGAAGGCACAGACAGCCAGGAUGUUGGCUUAGAAGCAGCCAUCAUUUAAAGAAAGCGUAAUAGCUCACUGGUCGAGUCGGCCUGCGCGGAAGAUGUAACGGGGCUAAACCAUGCACCGAAGCUGCGGCAGCGACACGAUGUGUUGUUGGGUAGGGGAGCGUUCUGUAAGCCUGCGAAGGUGNUGCUGGAGGUAUCAGAAGUGCGAAUGCUGACAUAAGUAACGAUAAAGCGGGUGAAAAGCCCGCUCGCCGGAAGACCAAGGGUUCCUGUCCAACGUUAAUCGGGGCAGGGUGAGUCGACCCCUAAGGCGAGGCCGAAAGGCGUAGUCGAUGGGAAACAGGUUAAUAUUCCUGUACUUGGUGUUACUGCGAAGGGGGGACGGAGAAGGCUAUGUUAGCCGGGCGACGGUUGUCCCGGUUUAAGCAUGUAGGCUGGUUGUCCAGGCAAAUCCGGAUAAUCAAGGCUGAGGUGUGAUGACGAGGCACUACGGUGCUGAAGUAACAAAUGCCCUGCUUCCAGGAAAAGCCUCUAAGCAUCAGGUAACAUUAAAUCGUACCCCAAACCGACACAGGUGGUCAGGUAGAGAAUACCAAGGCGCUUGAGAGAACUCGGGUGAAGGAACUAGGCAAAAUGGUGCCGUAACUUCGGGAGAAGGCACGCUGGUGUGUAGGUGAAGCCCCUGCGGGUGGAGCUGAGACCAGUCGAAGAUACCAGCUGGCUGCAACUGUUUAUUAAAAACACAGCACUGUGCAAACACGAAAGUGGACGUAUACGGUGUGACGCCUGCCCGGUGCCGGAAGGUUAAUUGAUGGGGUUAUCCGUAAGGAGAAGCUCUUGAUCGAAGCCCCGGUAAACGGCGGCCGUAACUAUAACGGUCCUAAGGUAGCGAAAUUCCUUGUCGGGUAAGUUCCGACCUGCACGAAUGGCGUAAUGAUGGCCAGGCUGUCUCCACCCGAGACUCAGUGAAAUUGAACUCGCUGUGAAGAUGCAGUGUACCCGCGGCAAGACGGAAAGACCCCGUGAACCUUUACUAUAGCUUGACACUGAACAUUGAGCCUUGAUGUGUAGGAUAGGUGGGAGGCUUUGAAGCGUGGACGCCAGUCUGCGUGGAGCCAACCUUGAAAUACCACCCUUUAAUGUUUGAUGUUCUAACGUUGGCCCCUGACCGGGGUUGCGGACAGUGUCUGGUGGGUAGUUUGACUGGGGCGGUCUCCUCCCAAAGCGUAACGGAGGAGCACGAAGGUUAGCUAAUCCUGGUCGGACAUCAGGAGGUUAGUGCAAUGGCAUAAGCUAGCUUGACUGCGAGCGUGACGGCGCGAGCAGGUGCGAAAGCAGGUCAUAGUGAUCCGGUGGUUCUGAAUGGAAGGGCCAUCGCUCAACGGAUAAAAGGUACUCCGGGGAUAACAGGCUGAUACCGCCCAAGAGUUCAUAUCGACGGCGGUGUUUGGCACCUCGAUGUCGGCUCAUCACAUCCUGGGGCUGAAGUAGGUCCCAAGGGUAUGGCUGUUCGCCAUUUAAAGUGGUACGCGAGCUGGGUUUAGAACGUCGUGAGACAGUUCGGUCCCUAUCUGCCGUGGGCGCUGGAGAAUUGAGGGGGGCUGCUCCUAGUACGAGAGGACCGGAGUGGACGCAUCACUGGUGUUCGGGUUGUCAUGCCAAUGGCACUGCCCGGUAGCUAAAUGCGGAAGAGAUAAGUGCUGAAAGCAUCUAAGCACGAAACUUGCCCCGAGAUGAGUUCUCCCUGAGACUUUAAGUCUCCUGAAGGAACGUUGAAGACGACGACGUUGAUAGGCCGGGUGUGUAAGCGCAGCGAUGCGUUGAGCUAACCGGUACUAAUGAACCGUGAGGCUUAACCUU